UACAGAGGGGGCAAGCGUUGUUCGGAAUUACUGGGCGUAAAGGGCGCGUAGGCGGCCGCCUAAGUCAGACGUGAAAUCCCUCGGCUUAACCGGGGAACUGCGUCUGAUACUGGAUGGCUAGAGAUUGGGAGAGGGAUGCGGAAUUCCAGGUGUAGCGGUGAAAUGCGUAGAGAUCCGGAGGAACACCAGUGGCGAAGGCGACACGCUGGGCCGUACCUGACACUGAGGCGCGAUAGCAUGGGGAGCAAACAGG
This 253-nucleotide ribosomal RNA is filed under the name uncultured bacterium. Its description in RNAcentral is "partial 16S ribosomal RNA". It matches the Rfam family "Bacterial small subunit ribosomal RNA", at positions 524 to 776 of the family's 1533-position model. The record is from RNAcentral.